UCCAAUGUAGCAUCCAAUGUAGUAUCGAAUGUACAAAUUAUUCAUAACAAAUUAUUUUUAAGAAAAAGUAAUAAUUUUAAACCCCAUUCAGACCCUUCCCUAUUCUUCUGCCCAUCAGAAAUUACUUUUAACCAAAAUCUUCUCCUUUUUUUUGUUUGGUUUUUAGAUCUAAUUCUUCUGUAAUUUUAGAUGUGAUGUUUUCAUUUUUUGAUCUAAUAUUUUUUCGUAGAAGAGAGGAAGGGGGAUAGAAAAGAGAGUGGUGGCAGUGAUAGGUCUCCAUUUUUUCCGGCGAGCAAGGCGGUGGUGGUUAUCAAAAUCAAAGAAAAAGGAGCAGACGGUGAUGGUCGUUUUCAUAUUCGAAAAAGAUGAAUUAAGUAGUGAUGAUUGGAGUAGUGGCAGCAUAGGCAGUGAUGCUAGGAGAAGGUGGUGCUAUUGGUUCGGAAAAGAAGGAAGAAGAGGUGUGGUGGCAGCUGUAAUGGCAGAUCCACGGAUGAAAUGAUGGUAGUGGUGGAAGAGGUAGGUGGCUGAAGAAAAAG
Molecule: long non-coding RNA, 536 nt
Filed under: Nicotiana benthamiana
Lineage: Eukaryota; Viridiplantae; Streptophyta; Magnoliopsida; Solanales; Solanaceae
Description: long non-coding RNA (NBEN_LNC012407)
Source: RNAcentral